This is a long non-coding RNA of Octopus sinensis (East Asian common octopus), 105 nucleotides long. RefSeq lists it as uncharacterized. The transcript has 3 exons. The record is from RefSeq and is a predicted model, not a curated record. NCBI's taxonomy places the organism in Eukaryota, Metazoa, Mollusca, Cephalopoda, Octopoda, Octopodidae.
AAUGGACUGAAUAUCAUAGUCUAGAGGAAAACAGGACAAUGGUAAUACGUUCUAGAGAAAAAGCAGUUUGAAGAAAGAAAUCAGAACAAAAGUAAGUUCAACAGA